Molecule: ribosomal RNA, 1268 nt
Filed under: Greenidea psidii
Lineage: Eukaryota; Metazoa; Arthropoda; Insecta; Hemiptera; Aphididae
Description: 16S ribosomal RNA
Source: RNAcentral
AAUUUAAUUUAUUAAUAAUUUUUUAAUUAUUAGAAGAUUUUUAAAAAUAAUUUAUUUUGGAUUUUGUUUUAGUUUUUAAUUUAAAAAAAUUUUUAGAUUUAUAGUUUAUUAGUAUUGUGAAAGAAAUUAUUUAAAUAUUUAAAAGAAUUAUUUUAGUACCUUUUGUAUCAGGGUUAAUUAAAAUUUUUAAUUUAUUUUUAAAUUCUCAAAAUUUAUAGAGUUAAUUUUAUUUUUGAGUUAUUAUAUUAAAAAUAUUUAUAAAAUAAUUUUAGUUUAGAAAUUUAAUUCGUUAUAAUAUAUUUAGUUAUUUAAGAUUUAAAUUUAAUUUAAAAUUUUAAAAGUUUUGUUAAUUUUUUUUAAUUUAAUUUUAAAUUUAAAUUAUUUUAGGGAUAAGCUUAAAAUUUUUAUAAAAUAAUUUUUUUUAAAUUAAUAAAUUUUAGGAUUAGAAAUUUUUAUUUUAAGUUUGUAAAAAUUUAUUAUUUAUUUAAUUUUUAAUUUAUUAUAAAUUUAUUUAUUUUAUUUAUUAAAUUUUAUAAAUUAAUUUUUUAUUUAUAGUAAUAAUGAUUAAAUUAGUAUAAUUGUUAUUUAUAAAUUAUGAAUUCGGCAAUUUUUAUUUUCAUCUGUUUAACAAAAACAUUGUAUUAAGUUUUAUUUAAUAUAGAAUCUGCUCAAUGAUUUUAAAAUUAAAUAGCUGCAGUAUUUUGACUGUGCAAAGGUAGCAUAAUAAUUAGUCUUUUAAUUGAGGACUUGUAUGAAAGAUUUGAUGAGAAAUAAACUUUAUUAUUUAUAUUAUUAAAAUUUUAUUUUUAAGUAAAAAAGCUUAAAUUUUUUUAAGGGACGAUAAGACCCUAUAAAACUUUAUAAAUUUAAUUUUUUUAAAUUUUUGGUUAAAUAAUAAAUUUAAAAUUUUAAAUUUAUUUUAUUGGGGUGAUAAAAAAAAUAAUUAACUUUUUUUAAAUAUUAACAUUAAUUAAUGAUUUUUUGAAUUAAAUUUUUUAAUUAUAAGAAAAAGUUACUUUAGGGAUAACAGCGUAAUUAAUUUUUUAAGUUCAAAUUUGAAAAUUAGAUUGCGACCUCGAUGUUGAAUUAAGAUUAAUCUUAGGUGCAAAAUUUUAAGUUUUAGGUCUGUUCGACCUUUAAAUUCUUACAUGAUUUGAGUUCAAACCGGUGUAAGCCAGGUUGGUUUCUAUCUUUAAAAUUUUAUUUUAUUUUAGUACGAAAGGAUUAAAUAAAAGAAUUAAAUUUUUAAAAAAAAAUAUUAUUAUUUA